UCCUUAUUUUGGCUCUUCAGAUAUUAUAUAAAAAUGUUUGAUAACAAGAAGAGAAGUAUGAACGGAAGUUUGUAGGAAUGUUUUGAAUGGAUCUUCAUAAAAUUCGAACACCUUUAAAUAAGGCAAGUCCUAGCUUGGGGUGCAUAAUAUUUUUAAUGUAAAACCCAGUAUAUACCACGCUUUAUGUAUUUGAAUUACUGUUAUGUUAGUUAUUCGCAGAACACUUAUUGGUGGGCCCAAAAAUUAAUGUAAAACGCAUUAUAAUACUACAUUUUAGUAAAACGUAGUAUUAUAC
Molecule: long non-coding RNA, 295 nt
Filed under: Nicotiana benthamiana
Lineage: Eukaryota; Viridiplantae; Streptophyta; Magnoliopsida; Solanales; Solanaceae
Description: long non-coding RNA (NBEN_LNC035811)
Source: RNAcentral